AGUGAACGCUGGCGGUAGGCCUAACACAUGCAAGUCGAACGGCAGCACAGUAAGAGCUUGCUCUUACGGGUGGCGAGUGGCGGACGGGUGAGGAAUACAUCGGAAUCUACUUUUUCGUGGGGGAUAACGUAGGGAAACUUACGCUAAUACCGCAUACGACCUACGGGUGAAAGCAGGGGAUCUUCGGACCUUGCGCGAUUGAAUGAGCCGAUGUCGGAUUAGCUAGUUGGCGGGGUAAAGGCCCACCAAGGCGACGAUCCGUAGCUGGUCUGAGAGGAUGAUAAGCAAAACUGAAACUGAGCAACGGUCCAGAUUCUUACGGGAGGAAGAAGUGGGGAAUAUUGGCAAAUGGGGGAAAGCUUGAUCAAGCAAUACGGCGUGGGUGAAGAAGGCUUUCGGGUUGUAAAGCCCUUUUGUUGGGAAAGAAAAGCAGCAGGUUAAUACCCCGCUGUUCUGACGGUACCAAAAGAAUAAGAACCGGCUAAUUUCGU
This 491-nucleotide ribosomal RNA is filed under the name uncultured bacterium. RNAcentral's name for it is "partial 16S ribosomal RNA". It matches the Rfam family "Bacterial small subunit ribosomal RNA", at positions 29 to 506 of the family's 1533-position model. The record is from RNAcentral.